GGUGUAUGUGUUCAGUACAGAUGCAUCCAUCAUAGACCUAAGUACAUAAUACACAUAAGCAAAUGUAACUUUUUUCCUGAAUAUUUUUGAUCUGAAGUUCAUUGAAUUUGUGGAUAGUCAGCCAACUGUAUGUUUUAUUGUCUUGUCUCUAAUCCACAGGACGAUACUUUGAUGAAAUUAGUCAGGACACAGGCAAGUACUGCUUUGGUGUUGAAGAUACAUUAAAGGCUUUGGAAAUGGGCGCUGUAGAGAUUCUAAUAGUCUAUGAAAAUCUGGAUAUAAUGAGAUAUGUUCUUCAUUGCCAAGGCACAGAAGGUAAGAAAACUAGAAAAUAAGAUUCUUAUUUGUUACUUUCUUGUGUAUGCUGGAAAUCUGGGGUGGGCAUUUGGGGACAUGUGGCUGAUUUCAGAAGCAACCAGAAGGCAGUUGUAUGUACCACUCUCUUUUGGUUGUUUGAUAUGUCUUUAUGGUAGAAGUAGUGUACCUGGUAGAUGCUGAGUGCAUGCUAAACUCUGUAGGAAAGGAGGUUAAUACAAUGAGUCCAGGAGACGUUUUCUCAUCUAAUGUCACAGGGCUCAUACCUAUUAAUACAUGAGAGCCAGAUUAACAAGUUCUUUUUGUUGUUGUUGUUGUUUCAUUUUAAACUACAGAGGAGAAAAUUCUCUAUUUAACUCCAGAACAAGAAAAGGAUAAAUCUCAUUUCACAGACAAAGAGGUAUGUGAUUAUUUUCUUUGGUGGUAAACGCAAGGAAGCACAGACUCUCAGCCUUGGGAGACCAAACCUCAUACUAGUUAGGGAGUCAGCAGGAAGGGGUCAGCUUCUAUUUGCCAUGCACUGAUCUGAUUCCAAGGAAGGGGGCCUAGGAAUGGUUACUGCAGAUCUUUUUAAGUAAUUAAGCAGUCAGGAAAACAUUGUUGUUAUCCUUGAAAUAAUUUGAAUAGUUUCUGCUAUCUGUGAACCUAUACUGCUUUCUUUGCUUUUAUCAGUUCUUCCACUGCAGUGGCUUCUCUGCAUUUGAUGUAAAUGUAUACCAGUUUAAAAUUCUAUGAGUUGGAGGACUUGGGCCUUUAUGAAGCUGCUCCCAAAAGCAUUUGUGGCAUGCUUCUUCUGGGGUGUGAAUGAGUGAGCAACAGCAUGACUUCUGGAAUCAACAGUAGGAAUCAUAAGUUGAAGAAUUUGUUAAUGUUUCAUUAAAGGGUAGAGCCUGAGAAGUAUUAAAGUAUAAAGUAAUCAGAAUUUCUCUGCUAUUUCAGUUCUGUUACCAGAAACCAGAAUUCACUUUAUUUUACACACAUUUUAUACAUAUGCAUAAUGAGUAGGAGAAUUAGAGUGGUGGAAAGAGGGAUUGAGAGGGUUAAGAUGAACUUCAUUGUGUAUAAUGUUUUUGUUUCUCAUGGUCGCAUCUAUAGACGGGGCAGGAACAUGAGCUGAUUGAGAGCAUGCCCCUUUUGGAAUGGUUUGCUAACAACUAUAAAAAAUUUGGAGCUACAUUGGAAAUUGUCACAGAUAAGUCACAAGAAGGAUCCCAAUUUGUGAAAGGAUUUGGUGGAAUUGGAGGUGAGUAGCAAAUCAGCAAAUAUAACUUAAAACAAGGGUUUCAGGCCAGGGCCUCUCCUGGAUUAAGUAAUUUCAGGUAAAGUGUACUCAUGGUCUACUUGAGGCAGGUGGCUACACAACUUGAUUUGGAUUUUUUUCCCCUCUCCAUUACUGGGGAAUGAACCAAGGGGUUCACACAGCCCUUUUUAUUUUAUUUUGAGAUGAAGUUUAAGUUAUCAAUGCAGGUUUCAAACUUGGCAGUCCUUCCUCAGCCUCCCAAGUCAAUAGGAAUACAGGUGUGCACCACCACACCCAGCUGGAACAAUUUUAAUCAGUCACUCUUUGCUUUCUAGAAUUCUGCAAAUGAAUGGACUACCCUUAUAGAGCAACCCCUCCCUAUUCCAUGAACAUUGGUACUUACCCUUUGAUUUUUUUCUCUAGGUAUCUUGCGGUACCGAGUAGAUUUCCAGGGAAUGGAAUACCAAGGAGGAGACGAUGAAUUUUUUGACCUUGAUGACUACUAGGUAGUCGACAUGGGUCCGGCAAAAUGUGCCUCACCCUCCAGCAUCCAACCCAAGGAGCAUACCCGUGGUGGAAUCCAAACAGAUCCCUGCCUUACAAUUGGAACAUUUCCAGAACUUAAUCCAUGAGCAUUGGAUACUGAAAAGAAAACCGAAACAAAACCAGACCCAACCCUGUACAUUGGUUUGUCAUGGUGUCAGCGCAGCAGCCUGCAACUAAGUUCCUAAAUGCCACUUUGGACUAAUUUAAAAAGAAUCCCAGUUUUUACUUUUACUUGAUGGUGAAAUUGGUUGCUCUUGUAUUUUAUGAAAAAAAAAAUGAUUUUUUUAACCUUCAUACAUAGAAGCAAAAUACUUUAACUGCUGUAAACCUUCAAAAGUUAAUAGAAGCGAGAUCAUACUGGUUUGUUUCUUAUUUUGAUUGGAGAAAAAUUAAAAUUGCUGCAUUUCGCAGUGACCCAUUUACAUGGCAUUCUCAGCUUAGACUGCAUAAGAAGAAAUACAUGUGGUGAAAUGUUGGAACCAUUUCUCUCUUGGUCUCUGUUUAAUGUUGAAAGGGUGAGCUAAUAGGAGGCAGUUUCAACCUCACUCCCACACACCCCUUCCCCAAACUGUCAGUUUCAAGGAUGCAGAUUGCAUUGUAAAGUCAAACUGACUCAUGAAGCAUUGAGGCCAGUGCACUGUUUACUUUCAUCUGUUUGGCAGACACAUUUGUGCCCGAUGUUUGGGAGCCCUUUGUAUCAUUUACUUUAACAAGGGUCCCCAUAAACCUAGCCUACUAGAAAUCAGUUUGGGAUGGAUAUGGUUGGGCUUCUGUGCUAUUUGCUGGGAUUGGGAGAAAUAAAACAAACAAUUUUAGUGGAAGCAAAGAAAUUUAAAGAUUAUUUUAUUUUGCUUGGGUCUACCCUUGGUAAAAAGGGAGGUGGUCGUGUUUCCUUGUGUUGGGUGGCAUGAGAUUAUGUGAAUGUUUUGAUUUUUUUUUUUUUUUUUUUUAAUGAAAUGGAAGAUUUUUCACCGGGACGACAGACAAGACAUGUAUGAUUGCAUGGAAUUAUAAACCCUUGGUGGGGUUUGAGCAUCUGUUUCAAAUGUGGGACUUAAAAGCACCUCUCAGAUGAGAAAUUAUGGGAGGAGGGUGGGAAGGGAAGGGGUGGGAAGGGAUGGGACACAGCUUCUGGCACGAUGGACUAAACCAUGUUGGAUCUAAAAAGUUGGCCUGAAAACCUGAAGCUUAUGCUUCAUAGCUAGGCUAUAAGGUGGACUAGAACCCAGCCCAUGCAAGUCAUGGCGUGCUCGAUGUGGUGACAGUGAACAAAGUGUAUAGGAUGUGCCCAGUGCUAGCAAUGAGAAAGUGUAUACCGAAUGGACUUUGAAGGACCAAAGGUUUUUUAAGUCAAUUGGUAUCACCACCACCCCAGUGACUAGGGUAGUGGGGUGCAUUUGGUUUUCAAAUUGGGUACUUUCAACACUUAGUGCCUGACUGCUGUUCUUCACUGACUUGAUUCAGUCACUCGUAGCUUUAUUGGUCUGAACCAACUCUUUGUUCCCAGGUUACAGACCUGCCUAUCGUUCCAAUAAUCCUGUUUCACUUGAAUGAAGGGAGUAUGUCUUAAAUGUAAAGCUUCUGGUACUCACACUGUGCUCUGAGGUCCAAAUAACUGUCUGUCAAUGUAUAACCUGAUGUCUCAACCCCCAGUGAGAAGAGUCAAUUCUUUGGUGUUCACCGAUGUGGGAGGCUUCACCGGAACAGGCUUUUGCUUUGGGCUCUGCUGUUUGUUUGCAGAACACCCAAGAGCAAGUAAACAUGCUCUCUUCACAGCAGUACCUUAGGGUUUUGCCAUUGUAAAUGGGUCUAAUGUGAUAUGAUAAGACCAGAGAAAUUGGAUGUAAAUUUACAUUUUUGAAUAUGCUUGUUGUUUCACAUGAUACAUUUAGGGUAUGCAGCUCCUUUUGUAGUUUUUAUUUUUACUAUUUAAGUUUGGAAAUGAUGCCAAAUUUUUGUAUUUCUUUAAUCAAUGUGUUCUCUUCGGUGAUAUAUAUUGCAUUAUAUAUUGAUGUGUGUAUCAAUAUAUACUGGUAUGUAUUACACUUACACAUGCAAACACAUAAAUAAGAGGGGGUGAAAAACGUAGCCUUUGCAUUCUCUAUAGCCUCUGCAGAGAGAUCUAAGCAGCGAAAUCUUGGUGUUGUGAUGUACAGAAAUGGAGAAGAGUAUUAAACCAUAUUUAAGAAUAUACUUUGUGUGCUUGAGAUUUUUUAGGACUGUUUCCUAGAAAAGUCUGAACUUUAGAGACAGUAUGA
This 4359-nucleotide long non-coding RNA is filed under the name Marmota monax (woodchuck). The record is from RNAcentral. Lineage: Eukaryota; Metazoa; Chordata; Mammalia; Rodentia; Sciuridae.